CCUGUAGAGCCCAAGUCUGGGCAGCUGCUGGCCUCUCCAUAAGGGGACAGCACUCUGUGAUUCGGGGAACGGUGUGAAUCUGCCCAUUGCGUACAUCGGCAGCAAGCUGUGUUUGAGAAGCUCAUUUAUGACCCAGACUGGUGGAAGUCUUUGCCUGGCAUAACGGAGUGACAGAGACCCUGGGUCUGACGGGCAGGGCUGGCCUUCUCCAUCCCGGCUCCUGGCUAAGGAUGGCUGCUGGCCAGCCCCGGUGUCGGUGCCAGUUCAGCAUCUCCCCAGCAUACUCCCUGUGGACACCAUGUUCUCCCGCAAGAUACGGGGAAUUCUUUGCCGAGAGCCUCUGAUAGGCCAGAUGCUGAGGUACAGCUGUGAGUCAAGACGGUCCUGGCCCUCCCCUGGCAUCCAGCUCACAGAGACACUUGAUUUUGGCAUUGCAGCAAUUCCGAAACUUUUUAUUUUAUACAAAGAUCCCGAAUUCCAUCUCAUGAUUUCCUGACUGUGCUGGAGCUUGAACCGAGCUCACCUUCUCCUACUGCCCUGUGGCUCUAGCCCUCUCUUUUCUUUCUUUUUGAAAACGGGUAUGUGAGUUUACACCUUCUCGCUCCUCAGAGGUUCACGUGGCUGACCCCAGGAGCCUCCUUCUCACAAGCUCUCCCACCAGCCUCUGACUCACCCCUCCCCAGCCGCUUCAGGACAGCUCAGUGUUGGAAGUCCUUUCCAGAGGAAGCCCACGGAUUCCCUCCGGGAGCCUCUCCUGCCCACACCACUCUUCCCAGAACUUCAUGGGUUUUUGAAAUGGAAUGGGAGAAAAGCUGAUUGAGUGGAAAGGUAGAAACCUCCUGGUUCCCUCAUAAAUGAUUACGGAUGGAUUAUCUCCAAUGCUGAGCCUGGGACGCCCAGAGAAGCCACUCAGUCUCCGUGCCCCUGGAGACAGACCUGUUGCCAAUUGCCCAGCAGGCUUCGAAGUUAAAAUGGAAGAAGGCUCACAGCCUUGCAGGCGCAAAGCAUGGAUUCCCCACCCUCUUCACUGCUUAGAGAGCAUCCUGAGGUCACUGGUGGCCUCCACUUAGCAUUUUCCUCUCAUCUUUGUCUCUUCUAUUGGACAUUCCCUUGCUGGCUUAGGUCCAGCUCUCUGUUGGACCCAGGCACACUUCCUUCAGACUUCAAUCCAUUUUUCUUGGAUCUCCUGGAUUAGGCUAGGAUAGUUGUCUCUUGUAAUCUGUCUCUGCACAGGUGAGUGUCUUUUCAGAAAUAAGGUUAUAGAGCAUGUUAGGGCAAAUCCAGAGUACGAAGUAGAGGGACCAGGAUGUAUUCUAAAAAAGGUGGGCACAGGUAAGCCGAGGCUGCUCCCAGAAAGGAGGAACUCCCGGGAAUUGUGAGAGAGGACCUGGCAAUUCCUCUAAAGAGCAUUGUGAUCCAGGCCUUGUGGAAUCUGUGUCAACCAGCACCCCACCCUUCUGCCUCCUCUCUGCUCCCAAAGCCUGCCCAUGUAUGGCCUGCGUUUACAAAGUUCACACCUAACUAACACCUUCAGAGAACAGCCAUGGAUACAGUCUGUGUUCAUGGGUUCUGUAUCCACAGACUCGACAAACCAGACACUGGAAAUAUUUAGGGGAAACUACAAUUAAUUUUAACAUUAUUCUUACCCUGUAACUAAUCUAGCAGAGAAAGUGUUUAUACAACACACACGUUACCCAGAGAGGACAUAAAGUGUACAGGAGGAUGUACAAGCCCUGGGCAAACACCACACGCAGGACCCAGCCUUCUGCCCUGGGACCGUCCCCAGCACAUACAGAAGUAUGGCAGUUUAAAGUAUCAUUACCUACACUUUCCCCUGACUUUGUAGUUGGGAGGGGGGGGGCAGAGCUCAUGCAUGCCUUGAUGCAGGUGCAAGGGCCAGAAGUCAGAAUGUCUCCUCCCAUUAUGUUGGUCAGUGGGAUUGAUCUCAGGUCAUCAGGCUUGGUGGCAAGUACCUUUACUGGCAGAGCCUUCUUGCCAGUUCUAUUGGCUCUCCUUUUGAGGUGAAGAGAUGCUACCUGGGACAGGCUACCUGGGACACAUCCCCCCUUAGCAUGAAUGACAUCUUUGUUGACUGGUGUUGGCCCUUCUCUCCUUGGGAAGCAGUUCUGACCCUAGGAUGAACUCCAGGCUCCCUCUAGCAACACCUUCUCCUCUGCCCAGCACUUAGGGGCAAGAGCUACACUUGAAGGUGACAGGUCCCAGCAACAGAAUCCUAGGCCUCUAGCCACAUUCUCUAAGCCUCUCUCUCAUGUCAGAAGACCAGCAAUGGGCUGAGGUAACCCAGGACAAUCUUAAGGUUCCCCCAACUAGCAGCUGUAACCUUACCUUGGGCUUCCUAUGUCAGGUAGCAAACCUAUUCCCUGGGUCAGAUUAGGACAUCCAGAGCUGUCCUGUCCAGGAGUGAAAAGUUUUGGGUUUUGUUUGUUUGUUUGUUUGUUUGUUUGUUUUGUGCAAAAGAGCAUAGCCACAGUUCAGACAGGGUGGGUUGAGGAGGUCACCCUCACAGAGAAAAAGUGUGGAAUGUACUCAUGUUCCCCAGAGGUCAGAGGUCAGCUGAGAAUGACUGGCAGUGGUGGCACUCCCCUGUGUGCUGGGGAAGCCAUUUAAGAUGCAGGUUGAAGGAUAGUGGGCUCAGGUCAGCUUGAGAUGGGAAGGUUAGUUGGGGAAUAAAUCACACUAAAAUUGUGUGUGCACUUUUAUGGCUUCAGAUUCAUCCUUGCUGUGUACAGUUACCAAAGAGCUGAGCUUUUUAAAAUAUUUAUUUUAAAAAAUUUUAUGUGUAUGAGUGUUUUGACUGCAUGUAUGUACGUAUACACGUGUACUUGCAGUGCCCACAAGGCCAGAAGAGGACAUAAGAUCCCCUGGAACUGGAGUUAAAGACCAUUGUUAGCCACCAUGUAUGUUUUGGGGAUUGAACUCAGGUCCUCUGGAAGGGCAGCCAGUGCUCUUAACUGCUGAGAUAAC
Alexandromys fortis (reed vole) is the source of this 2985-nucleotide long non-coding RNA. RefSeq lists it as uncharacterized. NCBI's taxonomy places the organism in Eukaryota, Metazoa, Chordata, Mammalia, Rodentia, Cricetidae. The record is from RefSeq and is a predicted model, not a curated record. The transcript has 3 exons.